AUAUGUGAGGGUGACCUGAUUGCGACAUCUGUCACCCCAUUGAUCAUCAGGGCUGAUUCGGCUGAUCUGACUGGCUAGAUGGAUGUCCCCUUCCUCCCUCACCGCUCCAUGUGCCCAUGUGCAUCCCUCCAGAAGAUGGCCUUCCCCGAGAAGAGAAGAACUGGUCUUCGGUCAAGUGUAUACGAGUAGCUGCGCUCCCCUGCUAGAACCUCCAAACAAGCUCUCAAAGGAUACAGACAAACUAACCUUAAUCAGAAUAGUUAAAGGAUAUUCUACCCUU
This is an unclassified non-coding RNA of Erinaceus europaeus (western European hedgehog), 280 nucleotides long. Its record names the gene 7SK. It matches the Rfam family "7SK RNA". Rfam says of the family: 7SK was discovered as an abundant small nuclear RNA in the mid-70s but a possible function has only recently been suggested. Two independent studies have found that 7SK RNA binds the CDK9/cyclin T complex (known as elongation factor P-TEFb). P-TEFb activates transcription by phosphorylating the C-terminal domain of RNA polymerase II. NCBI's taxonomy places the organism in Eukaryota, Metazoa, Chordata, Mammalia, Eulipotyphla, Erinaceidae. The record is from Ensembl.